UACGUAGGUGGCAAGCGUUGUCCGGAUUUACUGGGCGUAAAGAGCGUGCAGGCGGUCGUUCAAGUCGCGUGUGAAAGCCCCCGGCUCAACUGGGGAGGGUCACGCGAUACUGAUCGACUCGAAGGCAGGAGAGGGAAGUGGAAUUCCCGGUGUAGUGGUGAAAUGCGUAGAUAUCGGGAGGAACACCAGUGGCGAAGGCGACUUCCUGGCCUGUUCUUGACGCUGAGGCGCGAAAGCGUGGGGAGCGAACAGG
This 253-nucleotide ribosomal RNA is filed under the name uncultured bacterium. Its description in RNAcentral is "partial 16S ribosomal RNA". It matches the Rfam family "Bacterial small subunit ribosomal RNA", at positions 524 to 776 of the family's 1533-position model. The record is from RNAcentral.